GAUGAACGCUGGCGGCGUGCCUAAUACAUGCAAGUCGAGCGAACACAUGAGGAGCUUGCUCCUCUGACGUUAGCGGCGGACGGGUGAGUAACACGUGGAUAACCUACCUAUAAGACUGGGAUAACUUCGGGAAACCGGAGCUAAUACCGGAUAAUAUAUUGAACCGCAUGGUUCAAUAGUGAAAGACGGUUUUGCUGUCACUUAUAGAUGGAUCCGCGCCGCAUUAGCUAGUUGGUAAGGUAACGGCUUACCAAGGCAACGAUGCGUAGCCGACCUGAGAGGGUGAUCGGCCACACUGGAACGGAGACACGGUCCAGACUCCUACGGGAGGCAGCAGUAGGGAAUCUUCCGCAAUGGGCGAAAGCCUGACGGAGCAACGCCGCGUGAGUGAUGAAGGUCUUCGGAUCGUAAAACUCUGUUAUUAGGGAAGAACAAAUGUGUAAGUAACUAUGCACGUCUUGACGGUACCUAAUCAGAAAGCCACGGCUAACUACGUG
This 497-nucleotide ribosomal RNA is filed under the name uncultured bacterium. RNAcentral's name for it is "partial 16S ribosomal RNA". It matches the Rfam family "Bacterial small subunit ribosomal RNA", at positions 28 to 507 of the family's 1533-position model. The record is from RNAcentral.